AGCUCCCAUUUCCUUUUUCCCUCUCUCCCUCGGUCUCCCUUCCUGCCGCCGCCACCGGACGGCGCACCGCCGCCGGAGGCCGGCGGCUCUGCCUCCUUUCUCCUCCCCCUUCUUCCUAUCUCUCUUUCACCCCUCACUUCUCGCCCUCUUCCCUCAUCUCCCUUCCUCCUCCCCUGCCCUUGUCCUCACCGCACCAGCCGCAGCUGCGGCCGCUCAUUUCUCCGGCGGCGAAGGUCGCCGCCUGCCAGCGUCACCACUACGUCCAUGCCUCCCACCUCUCAUCUCCCUCUCGCCGACAACAGCCACGGCAAUAGCAGCAGCUGAUCGGUCCGCCACCUCCCUUUCCAGAUCCAGCGCCACCACUGCCCCUGCCUCUUUCCGCCGGCCGCCGUGUCGCGCAGCUCCGGCGAGAAUGAAGAAACAAUUGAGAUGCUGAAAUGAAUUUUCAUAGUAUCUGCACAAAAGAAAUCAAAAUUACCACUUGAGCGAAAAUGAACAGACGAGAAGUUGGUGUAAGAAAACAAACGAGGAAAACGAAUUGGUGAUGAUGAAUUGAGGAUGAUGCAAUGAGGUUUAAAUAGAUUGAAUUACUUGUUCGUCAACUACUGUGUGAAAGAAAUCAAAGUUUGCUGCGGUAGAAAUCAAAGUUUGAAAUCAAAGUU
Salvia miltiorrhiza (redroot sage) is the source of this 662-nucleotide long non-coding RNA. RefSeq lists it as uncharacterized. The record is from RefSeq and is a predicted model, not a curated record. Lineage: Eukaryota; Viridiplantae; Streptophyta; Magnoliopsida; Lamiales; Lamiaceae. The transcript is spliced from 2 exons.